UCAAGUAUAUUGUAGUGUAGAGGU
This 24-nucleotide non-coding RNA is filed under the name Cricetulus griseus (Chinese hamster). The record is from RNAcentral. Lineage: Eukaryota; Metazoa; Chordata; Mammalia; Rodentia; Cricetidae.